CCUACAGGAGACUGCAGUGAGGAAUAUUGGUCCAUGGACGGAAGUCUGAACCAGCCAUGCUGCGUGCAGGAAGACGGCUCUAUGAGUUGUAAACUGCUUUUGUACAAGGGUAAACCUGAAUACGUGUAUUCAGCUGAAAGUACUGUACGAAUAAGGAUCGGCUAACUCCGUGCCAGCAGCCGCGGUAAUACGGAGGAUCCAAGCGUUAUCAGGAUUUAUUGGGUUUAAAGGGUGCGUAGGCGGAUUGAUAAGUUAGAGGUGAAAUGUCCGAGCUUAACUCGGGAACUGCCUCGAAUACUGUUGAUCGAGAGAGUAGAUGCGGGAGGCGGAAUGUAUGGUGUAGCGGUGAAAUGCUUAGAGAUCAUACAGAACACCGAUUGCGAAGGCAGCUUACCAAUCUAUAUCUGACGUUGAGGCACGAAAGCGUGGGGAGCAAACAGGAUUAGAUACCCUGGUAGUC
Molecule: ribosomal RNA, 460 nt
Filed under: uncultured bacterium
Lineage: Bacteria
Description: partial 16S ribosomal RNA
Rfam family: Bacterial small subunit ribosomal RNA
Source: RNAcentral